AUGACAACCACAGAGAAAUAGUCCACUAAAGCUCAAUUCUCAGGUAAUAGAGAGCAUCUGUCUCAACAGUUUGACUUCUGAUUUGCUGUGUGCCUUAUUCAUUAUUAUUGUUUGCUAUUCCAGCUCCUCCCACGUCCCCAAACCUCCCUUAAUAAUUCUCAAGAAGAAAGAAAAGGGAGAUUUUCACAAAUCCCAUCAUUAGUGCCAGCCCAAAGGAUGAGACAAUAACCAGGUAGCCAAUGCCACCAUCUCUCACCACUCAGACACAUAACAAGCAGGAUAACACAUAACUUACCAAUAUAACUAAUAAUGACAUCCAUUAGUCUCUCUACAGCCAGUCAAACCUCCUGCUGAUGGAACUCACAGGCACUUGGAAACUGGUCUGCAGCACAAAAUCCCUCUCAGGCAAGCUGUCAGCAAGGAGGAAGCAUCCUGUGUGCAGGGGCCCAGCCUGGCAGAUGAGCAGCAUGGCUCACCGCAAACCUGAGGCAGCAGGAGAAGCUGCUGUGAGAGGACACAGCAGAGGAGAGCCCUGAGAGCUGAGUAAGAAAAUAACAGAUACAGCUGCCACUCUAAUCAUUGCAUCAAGUUUCCAGUGAUGGCCUCAUUUGGCCACACCAGUGACCCGACGUGGGAUGCCAGAGGAACUCACAGCAGUCAGUGAAGAUGGUAGGAAUUACAGCUGAAGGAAAACUAGCGUAGCAAAGCUCAAUAUAAGCUUAAUCCUGCAUACCACACUGUGCUGCUGCUGCAUUUUGACUUCACUUGUUAAGCAAGACAUGCACUGCAGCAACUGGGCUUUUCUGCUGAGAGGAAUGCAAACUCUGGAUCAGAGGGAUGACAAGAGACACCACUGCCUGCAGUGCCUGUGGCCCACAGCUGAGCAAGAAUCAAUCAUGUUGGCUUUUAUUCAGAUCCUGGGGCUCUUGAGCCUUUUGCAUUAAAACUCUGCUGCAUAAGCAGCUGAGAGAGGGACCUGACUCUGAAUCUGUUUGCAGCAAACAGCAGAGUCCAGCACACUUUUAUAUCUUGUCUCUCAUGCCCUAAAUCUUUCAGCAUCAUCUUACUGUCAGAAAAAGAGGAUGCGAUGCUCUUCAGUUUGAA
RNAcentral lists this long non-coding RNA (1104 nucleotides) under Junco hyemalis (dark-eyed junco). RNAcentral describes it as "lncRNA (ENSJHYG00000012138.1)". The record is from RNAcentral. Lineage: Eukaryota; Metazoa; Chordata; Aves; Passeriformes; Passerellidae.